RNAcentral lists this long non-coding RNA (1098 nucleotides) under Numida meleagris (helmeted guineafowl). Its description in RNAcentral is "lncRNA (ENSNMEG00000001986.1)". Lineage: Eukaryota; Metazoa; Chordata; Aves; Galliformes; Numididae. The record is from RNAcentral.
UAGAGAUAUUAAUUACCCUUUCCAUGCAGGAGUGUUUGUGUGAAAUAAAGCAAAGAGAAGGAGACCAAAUGGGGAAGCUUUCUGGACCUCUUCCCUCUUAAAAGGUUAGGGAGUGUCUUGGCUUACUGCAUGACAAAAUGACCUCACAAAUACAGGACUGCCAUCUCAGCUUUUGUCCUUGACUUCCAGAAAUGUUUCUGUGGCUUCUGUCAUACAUUACAAAUAGGGUAGACCUUCAUCUCCAAAAAUACAGGGAAUUUCCCAGGUGGAAAUAUGAUCAUGAUGUCAGUAACAUACGCAUACUGAUUCCUACAGUUUUGGGGCAGUCAGACUGACACGCAUGUAAGUGUGACCCUUUUUUUGACUGCCAAGCAAAGUAGGUGCUUGUCAGGACAACUACCUGACAGAUUGCCCACUUCUAGGCAGGCACCAUUUCCAGGCAGAAACCUUACUCUUUCCGGGGCUGGCCACUGGAGAAGAUGUACCUACGUUGUAGUAAAGAAUGGUAUGGUCAUAACUACAUGCAUUAAAGCGCCUAAAGGCCUUGGGAGCUCCAGUCUUGACUGAAGUGCCAUCCAGAAAGCCAGUAGCUGCCUGCUGUUUGAAUAGGCCACCCCAGAUCCAGCUGAAGCACUGGAGGAGAAGGCCCAGCCUUCACCCCUAGAGCACAUGGGGUGGCCCCAGAGCAAACCCAAAUCCAGCAAACCACCAGAGGGAGAUAAACUCACACACUUGGCCAAAUACAGCUCCUUCUGUGAGGGGGAAAUUGUAGGAGUUCCAGAGGGGGACAUAGUUGACGGCAAAUGUGCGAAGAUGGAGAAGAGCAGGCUAUUGCAGCAGGCCUCACAGCCUGCUUGCUGCCUCCAUUCCCAGAGGCAGCUGGGCCACAUGAGAACUGGGCCAAAAGAGACGGAGGACACAAAGGCUGCCUUUUUUUCCUCUAGACCCAACUUGAAAGGUAUUUUUCUCCAUCAAGCUGCAGGACAGGAUGAUUACACAGGAAUUAUCAGGUUAACACACAUCAUCUGCAUGGACAAACCACAGAGGGAAAUGGGCCAAGCAACUCUGCAGUGGCUGAUAUCUGAGCUGCAGGAAUAG